CUGAACUCUGCGACUGCAAAUCUCUAUUUACAAAAACUCCUUGAAGGUGGUUUGAGAGACAUCUAUUCUUUGGAUAGACAAAUCAGGAGAUAACCAAGAACUAAAAAUACCCUGAAGGUGGUUCACGGAUGAAAAAAUUCUUAUCUUGAUAAGACAAACCUGAGAUUGCUAGGUGACGUCAGGCUGACGCUCUGCUGAAGUUUCUGCAGGCUUCCUGUGUAUUGAGUCUGCUGCUGUAGCGGUCUGUCUCUCCAAGAUGUUAACACUGUAUCCAUGACAACGCAUUAACACACACAAGUGCAGUGGAGCAUGGAGCGUGUGUCAGUGCAGUAUGAGUACGAGUACGCAACGAGGGACGGUCGCCUCGUGUGCA
Scomber japonicus (chub mackerel) is the source of this 373-nucleotide long non-coding RNA. RefSeq lists it as uncharacterized. The record is from RefSeq and is a predicted model, not a curated record. NCBI's taxonomy places the organism in Eukaryota, Metazoa, Chordata, Actinopteri, Scombriformes, Scombridae. The transcript has 3 exons.